UACGGAGGGUGCAAGCGUUAUCCGGAUUCACUGGGUUUAAAGGGUGUGUAGGCGGAUAUUUAAGUCAGUGGUGAAAUCUCAAGGCUCAACCUUGAAACUGCCAUUGAUACUAUUUAUCUUGAAUAUCGUUGAGGUAGGCGGAAUAUGUCAUGUAGCGGUGAAAUGCUUAGAUAUGACAUAGAACACCGAUUGCGAAGGCAGCUUACUAAACGAUGAUUGACGCUGAGGCACGAAAGCGUGGGGAUCAAACAGG
This 253-nucleotide ribosomal RNA is filed under the name uncultured bacterium. Its description in RNAcentral is "partial 16S ribosomal RNA". It matches the Rfam family "Bacterial small subunit ribosomal RNA", at positions 524 to 776 of the family's 1533-position model. The record is from RNAcentral.